Molecule: long non-coding RNA, 5427 nt
Filed under: Sus scrofa (pig)
Lineage: Eukaryota; Metazoa; Chordata; Mammalia; Artiodactyla; Suidae
Description: lncRNA (ENSSSCG00040055672.1)
Source: RNAcentral
GUUCCCACUUUUUUACUAUUAUGCGUAAUGCUGAUAUUAAAAAUUUGUGUUCAAGUUCUUAUUGGCCACAUGCUUUUAGUUCUCUUGGGCACCUACCUAGGAGUGGAAUUGCAGACAUAUGGGAGCUCUGUGUAACUUUUUGAGGAACUGCCAGAUGGUUUCCAGAGCAGUUGCAGCGUUUACAUUCCCAGCAGCAAAUAUAAAACUUUGAGAUUUCUCUGUAUCUUCCUCAACAUUUGCUAUUAUAUGUCUGUUGAUUGCAGCCUUUCUAGUAGGUGUGAAGUGGCAUCUCAUUGUGUGUGUGGUUUUGUUUUGUUUUUGUCUUUUUAGGGACACGCCCGUGGUAUAUGGAAGUUCCCAGGCUAGGGGUUGAAUCAAAGCUGUAGCUGCCAGUCUACACCACAGCCACAGCAACAUGGAAACCAAGCUGUGUCUGCGACCUACACCGCAGCUCACUGUGAUGCCAGAUCCUUAACCCACUGAGUGAGGCCAGGGGUCGAACCCACGUCCUCAUGAGUUCUAGUGGGGCUUGUUACCACUGAGACAUGACAGGAACUCCCUCAUUGUGGUUUUGAUUUGCAUUUUCUUUCUGAAUGUUAAAUGAUAUUGGUCAUCUUUUCAAGUGCUUAUUUGUCAUUUAUAUUUCUUCUUUGGAGAGAAGUCUGUUCAAAUCAUUUGCCCAUUUUUGAAUUAGAUGGUCUUUAAUUGUUGAGAUAUAAGAUUUCUUUAUAUGUUUCAUACACUCUGUAGAAAUCAUACAUUCUUAUCAGAUAGAUGACUUGAAAUAUGUUCUCCCAUUCUGUGGGUGCAGCUAGUCAAUUCUGAUGGAUAUACCAGUUGGGAGAUAUUUGUGGCCUCUUAAAGUAGAAGAUUAGCAAUCCUCUCUGACUAGUUGGCUUUGGGUAUGUACAUUCUUAGCCUGUUCUUCCACUUUAUACCAAAUGAGUGUAUCUUCUAUGUGUUUGUUGCUCUGGCUACUGCAGUUGAGAUUUGUGAAAUCCUAUUUAGGUAUAUAUCCUGUUAUGGCCUGUGUCCUGGUCACAAGUAUGGGAAACCUUUAGGGGUCACCAAGUUUAUUUAUUUAUUAAAUUUAAUUUUAUUGGAGUAUGGUUGAUUUACAAUGUUGUAUUAGUUUCAGGUUUCAGCAAAGCGAAACAUAUAAAUAUGUCCAUUCUUUUUUCCCAUAUAGGUUAUUAUAAACUAUUGAGUAGAUUUUCCUGUGCUAACCAGUAGGUUCUCAUUAAUCAUUUAUUUUGUAUAACAGUGUGUAUAUUCUAUUCCCACCCUCCCAAUUCUUCCUUCCCUCACAAGGAUUUCGCCUGUGGUAACCAUAAUAUUGGUUUUGAAAUCUGUGAGUUUUUUUUUUUUCUGUUUUAAUAAGUCCCUUUGUAUCAUUGUUUAUUAGAUUCCACAUGUAAGUGAUAUCAUAUGAUAUUUGUCUAUCUCUGACUUACUUCACUCAAUAUGUUGGUCUAGAUUCAUCCAUGUUGCUGCAAAUGGCAUUAUUUUGUUCUUUUUAAGGUUGAUAAUAUUCCAUUGUAUAUAUGUACCACAUCUUCUUUAUCCAUUCCUUUGUCAGUGGACAUUUAGGUUGCUUCCAUGUCUUGGCUAUUGUCAAUAGUGCUGCAGUGAACCUCAGGGUGCAUGUAUCUUUUUGAAUUAUGGUUUUCUCUGGAUAUAUGCCCAGGAGUGAAAUUGCUGGAUUGUAUGGUAGUUCUAUGUUUAGUUUUUUAAGGAAGUUCCUUAAGAGCCAUCCCAUGUAAAUAAGAAUGGUGACAUUAGUCAAUAGCGUCCCUGAAGACAUAAGACAUGCAGGAGCUAAAGACAGGGGAAGGGCCUGGAGAAGAGAGAAGGGAGCAGAAAUAAGGACGAACACAUUUCCUUACAAUUUUGCUGAGGAUCCGGCUCUAACUUUUCUUUGACCAUAAAUGAGAUGUGCUAGUCGACGCUGUGUAUACACGAUGCUUCCCUGCCACACUUAGAGUACAGGGUAGAGGAGGGUGAUGAUGCUCGCUUGGUACCUUUCAAAAUUUAUUUGGCGAGAGAGAGUUAAAAGAUGUAAUAAUAUAUUUAGCUUGUGGAGAAAAGCUUUUUCUUAAAGGUGCAGAGAGAGCCAUCUUCUCCAUCUCAUUGUCUCGUUUCAGAUUAAUAAAGGAGCAUGUGUACAGCAAGCGAUUGCAUCUGUAAUCUGACCUACUAAGGAAAGUCACUGGGUUCUUUAAGACAACUGUAUUUAAAGUAUCACAGUUGAAAAUAAAGCCACCUGCCCCCAGGGGAAAAAAAAAUCCAUUGAUUAACGAUUUCUAAAUCAUUAGGUUGUGUCUGUUCCAUAAGAGUGCUUCUGACCCUGUACUCGCUAGAUUAAUCUGUAUCCCUGUGUUGUUAAAAUCACCACUUCAAUCCAGUGCAUAAGAGAGUCAAGCUGGGAGUCAGUUUCGUGAAAAUAAUACAGCUUCUGUAUUAUUUUAAAAAUCAUACUUUUAAAACCAAAUACAUUCCAAAGAGAUAAUUGUGUCUAUAAUAAGUACUCUAAAAAACAUAGGGAAUGGUGUUAGUAAGUAAAAUCCUGCCUUAAAUAAAUGGUAUUAUUGAGGGGGAAAAACCCCUGUCUCCAAUCAGAACUUUUUUUUUUGUCUUUUUGCCAUUUCUUGGGCCACUCCCGCAGCAUAUGGAGGUUCCCAGGCAAGGGAUCUAAUCGGAGCUGUAGCCACCGGCAUAUGCCAGAGCCACAGCAACAUGGGAUCUGAACCACGUCUGCAACCUACACCACAGCUCACAGCGAUGCUGGAUCCUUAACCCACUGAGCAAGGCCAGGGAUCGAACCCGCAACCUCAUGGUUCCUAGUUGGAUUCGUUAACCACCACUGAGCCACGAUGGGAACUCCAGAACUUUUUUUUUUUUUUUGGUAAGGAAAAUGGCAGGACUAUACUGGUUUCAUGAAAGAGAUGGAGAAAUCCGGGCGGAAAGGGAAGGUUCUAUAGAACUGACCCCGUACAGCAGGGGGAAUCACGAAGGUCUCCCUGGACUCCUCUUGUUGGAUAAUGCCCCACUGGCAAGUACACUUAGCCAAAGUGCACAUAUUAUUAGCCAGUUUUGUUUUUUUUAAAAUGAACUUUGGCACUGGGUGAAAUUCAUGGGAAAGACAGGCCAGCUUUACUCAUGUGGCUGGGUGGACUGGCCCAGCUCACAGCUGCCAAGCGUUUCUGUUCAGAUUGUUGGCCAUCUAGCUCGAGAGCCCCUGGAAGGGAACCUGUGUCAUCUCCGUGUCCUGUCCCGGGCCUGGCACCCCUUUGGCGCUCUCGAAAUCUGUGAAUAAUGUCUGCCUACACAGCUGAGAGAAAUGCGUCAUCUUCUCAAUUGGGACAUGUCAUCGCUUCCGUGCCCUCCGUACGGUGCAUGCCGGCCAUGGGGGGCUUAAAUGAAAGUGCACUUGUGCUUGUCAAAAUGUCCCCAAAAAGAGACGUGGGGUUUGGAGGCAACCCCCUCUCCACCUCUCACAAGAGCAGCUCAGAGACAAGAGUGCUACAGUUCUGUGUUGAACUUGAAUUUGCAGUCGGUUCCAAGGCACAAUAAUGCCUUCUCUUGGUUGUUUUUUUCUUUUCACAUUACAGUACUUCAUUAUUGCCACAGGGGGAACUGUUGGCUUAAUUUUGCUUUAGAGACACUGCUGCUGAAAUUAUUAAACUAAUGAUUUAUGCCCCCAGUGAUACAGCAAUCUCUUGUGCUUAAAAUGGUUACUAUGUUUUGUUUACUGUUUAUAACUACCAGUGGUUAUGCCACGAAAAGCCCCUGCCAGCUUGCAGGGUUUAUUUAUCCCUGUGGAUCUUUAGAAACCACUGAUUAAUAUAGAAAAAAUUUGAAUGGUUUAUAUUUUUAAAAAUCCCAUAAGCUAUGAAUUAAACCACUGUGCUGUGCUCUAUAGGAGGAAAAUUUCAGUGAGAAUAAACAAUGGAUGUCAAAACCUCCUGCCUCUCGUAUUUGCUUCUGGUUGUAUCAAAGUGGAAAGUAGGAGUGCUUUUCAGGAAUACCGUACUGUGACUCCAUCAGCUUUGGCCUCUGAGAUCACCAGCAUUUCCCCUUGGGUGCCGCACAUUUUACCAUAUUAAGGAACCAAUUUGCUGAGAGAAAUGUUGCACAUGUUUAAAGGCCGUUAAGUUUGAUGGCUGGCAGAACGCUCCCAUUUAGCCCCAAGGCCGGACCUUGGUGAAAGAAGGCUUUACUACCAGCCUGCAUUUUUGUUUUGUUUUGUUUUGAAGUUUGCUUUUUGUCACCAAAGGAUGACACAAGGCAGAUGAACCUUGGGGCAGGGAGGGCUGUGAUUUGUGAGUGUUGAUUUGUUUAAAAUGGCAAAACGGUUCUUACACAAAUGUGUAAGUCUUGACCCUGUUGCCUGUCCAAGAGAAAGAGAGAAAACAUCGCUGUCGGUUUGGGCAGUUUCAGCCCAAUCCUCCACCUUCAGUCUUAGGCAUCACUUGCGGGUACUUCCAUUGCACCUGUCUGCGGGCUCCUGAAUGAGCUCCAUCAGUCCAUCUGGCUUUGUUUCUGCUGCAGGAUAGCCUGUCCAUCUCCCCUACCCCACCCCUGCCGUCUGCUCCGUGUCCCCAGUCCUUCAGUCAUGGGCCAGCUCUGAUGUUCACCCAGCACCUUUAUUCUGUGGUCUGAUGUGGUCCCUUCGAACCAUGGCGUGCUCUUCCCUGAGGCGCCCCACACACCAAGCCAGGCCAUGGUACUGGGGCUGGGUACAGGGACAAACGUUUUUCAGUCGGGCGGUGGUGUCUGUAAAUACAACGAACGUGGACCAUCCUGACUUGAGCAAAUUAAUUUGUAAGCAAGAAAGAGAACAAGGCCCUGAGUAUGGGAACAAAGCAGCAGUCAUAAUGUGAACAUCUGUGUACAGCUUUAUCCUCGGAUAUUCCCUGGGCACAGAACUUUCCAUACCAAAAUGCAGUCAGACGUUUAAGAGAAAGAUAAGUUGGUCAUUGAAACACCACACCAGGGAGUAAUAAGAACUCUUUCAUUCUUCCUCAUAAUGCACUCUUUUCCUUCAUGAAGAUGCAAAUUUUAGCCAUAAAAAUAGUCACAAUAUUAUAACCCAUGUGAAUAUGGAAAACAUAUUAUCCAAGUGGCAAUUUUAAUUGGAAAUAGUUACCUAAUCUCAUACGUAAAUGUCUUCAUUCAGGAUGUAUUUUCAGUUGCUCUUAGAAUUACUCUCCUUCUUGAAUUAGAAAAAUAAAAUGAAAGAAAUAGGAAUUCUGAUGCAGUAUACUCCAAAGAAUUUUUAUAAAUUUCAUGUUUGAUUUUUAUUUUAACACCACAUUUAGGAAACUAAAUCCUAUAUAGCUUAUCAUCAGUGUUUUGCUGAUCAUUUUUUUUUUAAACUUCAAAAUGUGAUUUAAUUACAAAUUAUUUUUAAGUCACAGAAAACCU